Molecule: long non-coding RNA, 4157 nt
Organism: Neofelis nebulosa (Clouded leopard)
Lineage: Eukaryota; Metazoa; Chordata; Mammalia; Carnivora; Felidae
Exons: 2
Source: RefSeq, a predicted model, not a curated record
AGCUGAAAUCAAGAGUUGGAUGCUCAACCGAGCCACCCAGGCACCCGUUUGGGGACUGUCUUAAAGUGAAGACUAAAACAAUGAAGCGAAGAAAAGAAUAAGCAGAAACAUAUAGAGUUCUUCAGUCUAGAAAUACAGGAGUCAAAUGGUUUGGAAAUACUAUCAUGAACUAUCAGUGUAGGGAUCAUUAAAUUUUAAACUAUGGGAUGAUUCUUGAAGCUGAAAAUGGGUUGUUGAGAGAAAAGUAACAUUUACACAGCAAAGUACUAUCUGAAAAUGAAAGAAAAUCAUAAAUGCACAUGUAAGUAAGUUUAUAGUAGGAUUCAUACUCAGGCUGUUACUUUCUUCUAUUUAAAGUUCCUUUGAGCUCUAGGGAAAAGGAGAUUUUACUACUGUUGUAAUCUGAGUUUUGGGUGGUUUUUGUACAGAAAUCAGAUUUUAAGGAAAUAUUUUAGCUUAUGGUUUUCUAAAACUGAUAAUCAUAUUUUGUACAUAUUUUGUAUUUCACAAUUGGACACACUUAGAAACCGUUAUACCAAGAGCCCAGGUAAAAUGUUCUUUCUGUUGUAUUUUAUCUGGGAACCUUCUAAUGAGCUGACAAUAUACGUAUAGUAUGACUACCAGGAAUCUAAAUUUAUCUCAUGAUCUAAAACUGACAGUUUUCAUUCUCACAUGUACUGAUGAAGGAAGGUAAUUAGCUUUAUCAAAAGUUCAUAAUCAAACAUUUAAAAUACACCUUAGCCCUUAUGCAAUAUUCCAUGAAAAGGUCAAAGAUUUUCAUGAGUUAUUUUCCUGGAACGUGGCUUCCAUUUCAAAGUUAGAAACAUUUAAAAUGUUCAAUGAAAAUCAAUCUAUGAAUUACUAAAACAUUCCAGAAGUUUUUGUAAACUGAUAAAAGAAUAUAGUUUUUGAUCAUCAGUUUUAUAAAACUAUAUUUGGUAUCAAUCUUUUCCUUAUCAGAUAUUAAGAUUAUAACCAAAGAAAAAAAUAAUUUGGGAAUCUGUCCAAAAAUCAUCUUUUAAGAAUAUCAUCAGGUUAGUUAAGACUCUAGCAAAGAUUUAAGACUUCAUCCACAAAACUAAGGCAAGAAAACACAACAGACCACUGCCAUCCAUGACAUUAAUGUCUGUGAAUGCCAAAAUAUGGCUCUGGCUAGUAUUGAACUGGGUGGGUGUUAUUACCCUCAGGUGAGGAAAAAGUCUUGGUAAGAGGUGCGUUCAUACCUCAACUAGAUGGCCUAACCAGAAGAACUCAAAUUUGUAGCUCAGUAAACUUGGUUAUGAAAUUUUCUGAGUUUCAGGCAACAAGCUCUAAAACCACAAAUCUCAAAUCUAUGAAUCACAGAAAUAGCAAAUAGGGUUGCCUCUAGCCCAAACAGUAACCCAGUACAAAUUAGAAACUAAAUUAGUCCAGAAUGCCUGCAGCUCAAACAGCCUCUUUGAGCAAUUAGAACAAGGUGCUGCUCCUCUGUGGAUGUUCCUCCUAGGUCAGUUUAGUGAGUAAAAUUCAGUCUGAAUUUUAGCUCCCACUCUACAGCUAAACCUGUAUCAUACCAACCACAAGUGACUGCACCCUAUUAGACGCUAGAAUUUAUCCAAAAUAUUCCAUGAAUGGUAUUAGUUUCUAAAAUUGUGAUGCUGGACACCUGCACCUGAAUCACAUAUGGUCUGUAUUAAAACAGCUUCCUGGGUCACAUCUAAGAACUCCUAAAUCUCUGAGGAUAGAGGUCAGAAAUUACAUUUUACCUUAAAAAUUGAGACUAUUAGCACCAUGAUGGUAGCCACUUUGUCUACCUUGUUUAUAGCCAGAUUCCUAGUGCCUGUAAGACUCCUUGACACAACAUAGGAUUGCAUUAUUUGUUGGCCAAAUGGAUGAAACCACUACAUUAAAAGCAUGACAGAUAACAGAAACUAAUUGCAUAUAUAUAGAAGUAGAAAACUGCAGCACACAAAUUAAAAACAUGGACUUUGAUGGGCAAGUUAUUUUACUUCUCUGUGCUUCAGUUUCUUUCCUCACCUGUAAAGUAAGGACAGUAAUACAUUGACCCCAGGGAUAUUGUGACAAUUUCAUUUGAUAUAUGUAAAGUCCUUAAGAAAAAGCCCUCAAUACACAUUUACUAAGUUAUCAUCUAUUUCUAAAGUUUGCCUCAGAGUUUUCACAAUCAAUUAUAACUAUAAAGGUAUUUACCAAACAGUUCAUUUUUUAAAGUUUAAAAUCUACAGAACUACUUACUGGAUCCAUUAAAAACACGCGAGAAGCUGCAGAAAGAUUUAAACCAACUCCACCUGCUUUCAAAGAUAGAAGCAUUAUAGUUGGAGAUCCUGCUUCAGUGUUUUGAAAACACUGAAUUGAUUCAACUCUUUUCUUCUGUGCCAUAGAACCAUCCAAACGAGUAAACACAAAUCCAGAGGCUCUAAUGGAAGGACAAAAGAGACAAGUAACACCUUCUAUACUAUUUUAAAAACAUGUUAAUUACAAAUUUCAUUCAACCAAUUCUUCCACUCAUUUAUUCUGACAAAUAUUUACUAACCACCAGUCAGUAUUUUUUCUGAUAAAUUCAGGACUUAUCUUUAAAAUCCUAUGCUCCCAGGAAAUAUUGUGACUCUAUCAUUUUACAUAGAUGAAAUGACUGUAACUGGUAAGACAAUUAUUUUUUGCUAUCCCUAUCAAAACACUUACAUAAAAUCCUUUUACUCAAAGUGAGAAACAAUACUGAAUUUACCUGAGUGGUGUUUCUAUUAAAGACAGGAAUGUUGUAAACUGAGAAACAACUAAACUUUUUAUGUUGGGGUUCUUCUUUCUUAAGUCAAUCAAUGCAUGCAUUAGUGCAUUAAUCUGCAAAAAAAAUUAGAACACCUGUUGGAUUCCAUUUUGAAUAGGCAAAAUACGUAUAAUUUUUUUAUUAGGAAAAGAAAGGCCCUGCCCCAUUAUUUCCCUAAAAAUGCAAAAGUAAAAGACAAUGUUUUUAAAAACACUGAAAAAAUGCACUCAUAACCUGAAGCUUCUUUGCUCUCAAAUGCACCACUAGAAAAUUUAAAAGUUAACACUAACAGAGCAUAAUAUUUAAAUGACAGGAUGAAAAGAAUUAUUUUAAUAAAUGGUAUCCUUAUAUAAAUAUAAAACAAAUACUCAAAUAUUUGCCCAUGUAUAUUUUACCUUUGAACUGGAUGUCCAUUCCAUAUUAGACUUUUUUUCAGUGUCACAUGCCAAUUCUUCUGGAGGACAUUCUAAUAAAUUGUCUCCAUGUAUAUCAUUUCUGCAUAAAGGACAUUUAGCAUGUGGCUAUAUAAGAAAAGAAUAAGAUAUGAAUGAAGCUUAUCAGAGGAACAAAUAUCAACUUACCUAAAAUUUUUUAUCAAGUUUAUUUGAGAGAGAGCAAGUGAGCGCACGAUGGUGGGGCAGAAAGAAAAUCCCAAGCAGGCUCUGCACCAUCAGCACAGAGCCAGACAUGGGGCUCAAACUCACGAACCGUGAGAUCAUGACCUGAGCUAAAAUCAAGGGUGUUUUACCUCAGAUGUUUGACCGACUGAGUCACCCAGGUGCCCCAACUUACCUCAAUUUUUAAAAAGCAUGGUAAAUUCUAAAACCUUAAUAGCUAGCAUUUUAUUAGACUUUUUAGAUUCAUCCACUUGAGAUAAAUCUGUACAUGCUAAACUCCAGGCAGAUGUAAUGUUCUAAUGUGUCAAGUGGGACUGGGUAAAAAAAGGAGCAAAAAGUAUGUCAUCUUGACUAGCAACAGGAGCUUGAAACAAAUAUUAUAAUACAGUUUACCCUUGAACAUGGGUAUGAGGAUUUUUUUUCAGUAAAUACAGUACAGUACUAUAAAUGAAUUUUACGAUUUUAGUAUUUUCUCUUUACUGUAGGAAUACCACAUAUAAUAUAUAACAAAGAUAUGUGUCAACUGUUUAUGUUAUCAGUAAGGCUUCCAGUCAACAGUAGGCUAUUAGUAGUUAAGUUUUAGGGCAGAUUUUCUGCACAGGGGGUUAGCACCCCAACCCCUGCCUUGUUCAGGGUGAAGUGUACUAUUUGCAGACAAGUAAAGAAACCAGAAAUAAUAGUAUCUUGAACCUAACUACAUUACAGCACACUAGUUGAAACUGUUCUUUAGGAAAAAAAAAAAAAAAUUUCUGGGGCACCUGGGUGACUCUGUUGGUUCA